Molecule: ribosomal RNA, 468 nt
Filed under: uncultured bacterium
Lineage: Bacteria
Description: partial 16S ribosomal RNA
Rfam family: Bacterial small subunit ribosomal RNA
Source: RNAcentral
GGGGGGGGGGGGGGGGGGGGGGGGCGCGGGGGGGGCGGGCGGGGGGGCCGGGCGUGGGUGGGGUGCUCGGGGGGCGAACGGGGGAGUAACCCGUGAGUAACCUGCCCUUGACUGUGGGAUAACUUCAGGAAACUGGGGCUAAUACCGGCUAGGAGCUCCUGCUGCAUGGGGGGGGUUGGAAAGUUUCGGCGGUUGGGGAUGGACUCGCGGCGUAUCAGCUUGUUGGUGGGGUAGUGGCUUACCAAGGCUUUGGCGGGUAGCCGGCCUGAGAGGGUGACCGGCCACAUUGGGACUGAGAUACGGCCCAGACUCCUACGGGAGGCAGCAGUGGGGAAUAUUGCACAAUGGGCGGAAGCCUGAUGCAGCAACGCCGCGUGCGGGAUGACGGCCUUCGGGUUGUAAACCGCUUUCGCCUGUGACGAAGCGUGAGUGACGGUAAUGGGUAAAGAAGCACCGGCUAACUACGUG